This 91-nucleotide transfer RNA is filed under the name Lachnospiraceae bacterium. RNAcentral's name for it is "tRNA-Ser". It matches the Rfam family "tRNA". Rfam says of the family: Transfer RNA (tRNA) molecules are approximately 80 nucleotides in length. Their secondary structure includes four short double-helical elements and three loops (D, anti-codon, and T loops). Further hydrogen bonds mediate the characteristic L-shaped molecular structure. tRNAs have two regions of fundamental functional importance: the anti-codon, which is responsible for specific mRNA codon recognition, and the 3' end, to which the tRNAs corresponding amino acid is attached (by aminoacyl-tRNA synthetases). tRNAs cope with the degeneracy of the genetic code in two manners: having more than one tRNA (with a specific anti-codon) for a particular amino acid; and 'wobble' base-pairing, i.e. permitting non-standard base-pairing at the 3rd anti-codon position. The record is from RNAcentral. Lineage: Bacteria; Bacillati; Bacillota; Clostridia; Lachnospirales; Lachnospiraceae.
GCCAGUGUGGCUCAAGUGGUACAGCACCUGCUUCGAACACAGGCAAGCCGGCAUUUAUGUCGACGUACAGGUUCGAGUCCUGUCACUGGCG